This 544-nucleotide long non-coding RNA is filed under the name Ananas comosus (pineapple). RNAcentral's name for it is "long non-coding RNA (ACOM_LNC019336)". The record is from RNAcentral. Lineage: Eukaryota; Viridiplantae; Streptophyta; Magnoliopsida; Poales; Bromeliaceae.
GUUCGGGUACAAGUAAGAAUUGCCUAUUUCAGGGAUAGGUAUAAUAAGUUCAGGUAUAAGCUUGGUCUAUGGAUAGGUAUAAUAAGUUCAGGUAUAAGCUUGGAAUAGACCAAUUUUGCGUUUGGAUGAAAAUUGAAUCGUUAGAAAACUAACGUUUGGAUAGAUAAAGAUGGAAUAAGAAGAAUAGUUGGUAGUUAUAAAUAAAAAAAUAAUGAUAUUGCCCUUAUAUUAUAUUUGAAUUUAAAAUUUUAAAUUUUGUAUCUAAAUUUUUAAAUUUAUAUAUAUAACUUUUAAAUUUCAAAAAUUCAAAAUUUAUAUUUAAAUUUUUAAAUCUCAAAUUCCAAAAUUCAAAGUUCUAAAUUUUACAUUUAAGAUUAAAUAUAAAUUUAAAAAUCUAAAAUAUCAAAUUUUAAAUUUAAAAAAUUUAAAUUGUCAAUUUUAAAAUUUAAAGUUUUAAUUUUAAGAUUACAAAUUAUAAAUUUUAAAAUUUUAAAAUUAAAAUUUAAAUUUUUUAAAAAUUAAAUAGGGGUGGGAACAACUGUUU